RNAcentral lists this ribosomal RNA (253 nucleotides) under uncultured bacterium. RNAcentral describes it as "partial 16S ribosomal RNA". It matches the Rfam family "Bacterial small subunit ribosomal RNA", at positions 524 to 776 of the family's 1533-position model. The record is from RNAcentral.
UACGGAGGGGGCUAGCGUUGUUCGGAAUUACUGGGCGUAAAGCGCGCGUAGGCGGCUUUGCAAGUCAGAGGUGAAAGCCUGGAGCUCAACUCCAGAACUGCCUUUGAAACUGCAUCGCUAGAAUCAUGGAGAGGUUAGUGGAAUUCCGAGUGUAGAGGUGAAAUUCGUAGAUAUUCGGAAGAACACCAGUGGCGAAGGCGGGACUCUGGGCCGAUACUGACGCUGAGGAGCGAAAGCGUGGGGAGCAAACAGG